UACGAAGGGGGCUAGCGUUGUUCGGAAUUACUGGGCGUAAAGCGUGCGCAGGCGGCUUCUCAAGUCAGGGGUGAAAGCCCAGAGCUCAACUCUGGAACUGCCUUUGAGACUGAGAGGCUUGAGUACGGGAGAGGUGAGUGGAAUUCCCAGUGUAGAGGUGAAAUUCGUAGAUAUUGGGAAGAACACCGGCGGCGAAGGCGGCUCACUGGCCCGAAACUGACGCUCAUGCACGACAGCGUGGGGAUCAAACAGG
RNAcentral lists this ribosomal RNA (253 nucleotides) under uncultured bacterium. RNAcentral describes it as "partial 16S ribosomal RNA". It matches the Rfam family "Bacterial small subunit ribosomal RNA", at positions 524 to 776 of the family's 1533-position model. The record is from RNAcentral.